Molecule: transfer RNA, 84 nt
Filed under: Caudoviricetes sp.
Lineage: Duplodnaviria; Heunggongvirae; Uroviricota; Caudoviricetes
Description: tRNA-Ser
Source: RNAcentral
GAAUUAAGCCUAAUUGGUAAGGCAUCGGUCUUGAAAACCGAUAGUAGCCGAGUAAUCGGUGUCUGGGUUCGAUUCCAACCUUGC